Molecule: ribosomal RNA, 484 nt
Filed under: uncultured bacterium
Lineage: Bacteria
Description: partial 16S ribosomal RNA
Rfam family: Bacterial small subunit ribosomal RNA
Source: RNAcentral
AUUGAACGCUGGCGGCAGGCCUAACACAUGCAAGUCGAGCGGAUGAAGGGAGCUUGCUCCUGGAUUCAGCGGCGGACGGGUGAGUAAUGCCUAGGAAUCUGCCUGGUAGUGGGGGAUAACGUCCGGAAACGGGCGCUAAUACCGCAUACGUCCUGAGGGAGAAAGUGGGGGAUCUUCGGACCUCACGCUAUCAGAUGAGCCUAGGUCGGAUUAGCUAGUUGGUGGGGUAAAGGCCUACCAAGGCGACGAUCCGUAACUGGUCUGAGAGGAUGAUCAGUCACACUGGAACUGAGACACGGUCCAGACUCCUACGGGAGGCAGCAGUGGGGAAUAUUGGACAAUGGGCGAAAGCCUGAUCCAGCCAUGCCGCGUGUGUGAAGAAGGUCUUCGGAUUGUAAACCACUUUUAGUUGGGAGGAAGAGCAGUAAGUUAAUACCUUGCUGUUUUGACGUUACCAACAGAAUAAGCACCGGCUAACUUCGUG